RNAcentral lists this ribosomal RNA (810 nucleotides) under uncultured bacterium. Its description in RNAcentral is "bacterial SSU rRNA". It matches the Rfam family "Bacterial small subunit ribosomal RNA", at positions 8 to 796 of the family's 1533-position model. The record is from RNAcentral.
AGAGUUUGAUCCUGGCUCAGAACGAACGCUGGCGGCGUGGAUAAGACAUGCAAGUCGGACGAGAUUUUUCGUUGUAGCAAUACGAUGGAAAGUCUAGUGGCGAACGGGUGCUUAACACGUGGGCAAUCUGUCUUAAAGUGGGGGAUAGCUCGGCGAAAGCCGAAUUAAUACCGCAUGUGAUCAGAGUGGACAUCCAUUCAAAAUCAAAGGUGGCGCAAGCUACCGCUUUUUGAGGAGCCCGCGGCCUAUCAGCUUGUUGGUGAGGUAACGGCUCACCAAGGCUUUGACGGGUAGCUGGUCUGAGAGGACGACCAGCCACACUGGGACUGAGACACGGCCCAGACACCUACGGGUGGCAGCAGUCGAGAAUUUUUCUCAAUGGGGGAAACCCUGAAGGAGCGACGCCGCGUGGAGGAUGAAGGUCUUCGGAUUGUAAACUCCUGUCAUUGGGGAACAAGUCGCUUACGUUAACUGCGUGAGCGUUGAUAGUACCCGAAGAGGAAGAGACGGCUAACUCUGUGCCAGCAGCCGCGGUAAUACAGAGGUCUCAAGCGUUGUUCGGAUUCAUUGGGCGUAAAGGGUGCGUAGGCGGCGCGGUAAGUCGGGUGUGAAAUCUUGGAGCUUAACUCCGAAACUGCAUUCGAUACUGCCGUGCUUGAGGACUGGAGAGGAGACUGGAAUUUACGGUGUAGCGGUGAAAUGCGUAGAUAUCGUAAGGAAGACCAGUGGCGAAGGCGGGUCUCUGGACAGUUCCUGACGCUGAGGCACGAAGGCCAGGGGAGCAAACGGGAUUAGAUACCCCAGUAGUCC